This 575-nucleotide ribosomal RNA is filed under the name uncultured bacterium. RNAcentral's name for it is "bacterial SSU rRNA". It matches the Rfam family "Bacterial small subunit ribosomal RNA", at positions 338 to 916 of the family's 1533-position model. The record is from RNAcentral.
CCUACGGGAGGCAGCAGUGAGGAAUAUUGGACAAUGGGCGCAAGCCUGAUCCAGCCAUGCCGCGUGCAGGAAGAAGCAUCUAUGGUGUGUAAACUGCUUUUGUACAGGAAGAAACACUCCCUCGUGAGGGAGCUUGACGGUACUGUAAGAAUAAGGACCGGCUAACUCCGUGCCAGCAGCCGCGGUAAUACGGAGGGUCCGAGCGUUAUCCGGAAUCAUUGGGUUUAAAGGGUCCGUAGGCGGUUUAAUAAGUCAGUGGUGAAAUCUGGUCGCUCAACGAUCAAACGGCCAUUGAUACUGUUAGACUUGAAUUAUAAGGAAGUAACUAGAAUAUGUAGUGUAGCGGUGAAAUGCUUAGAUAUUACAUGGAAUACCAAUUGCGAAGGCAGGUUACUACUUAUGGAUUGACGCUGAUGGACGAAAGCGUGGGGAGCGAACAGGAUUAGAUACCCUGGUAGUCCACGCCGUAAACGAUGGAUACUAGCUGUUCGGAGCAAUCUGAGUGGCUAAGCGAAAGUGAUAAGUAUCCACCUGGGGAGUAACGUUGCAAGAAUGAAACUUCAAAAGAUUGACGG